This 253-nucleotide ribosomal RNA is filed under the name uncultured bacterium. Its description in RNAcentral is "partial 16S ribosomal RNA". It matches the Rfam family "Bacterial small subunit ribosomal RNA", at positions 524 to 776 of the family's 1533-position model. The record is from RNAcentral.
UACAGAGGGGGCAAGCGUUGUUCGGAAUUACUGGGCGUAAAGGGCGCGUAGGCGGCCUGUUAAGUCGAACGUGAAAUCCCUGGGCUCAACCCAGGAACUGCGUCCGAUACUGGCAGGCUUGAAUUCGGGAGAGGGAUGCGGAAUUCCAGGUGUAGCGGUGAAAUGCGUAGAUAUCUGGAGGAACACCGGUGGCGAAGGCGGCAUCCUGGACCAACACUGACACUGAGGAGCGAAAGCCAGGGGAGCAAACGGG